UACGAAGGGGGCUAGCGUUGCUCGGAAUCACUGGGCGUAAAGGGUGCGUAGGCGGCGCACCAAGUCAGGCGUGAAAGCCCUGGGCUCAACCCGGGAAUUGCGCUUGAGACUGGUGUGCUUGAGUACGGGAGAGGAUAGUGGAAUUCCCAGUGUAGAGGUGGAAUUCGUAGAUAUUGGGAAGAACACCGGUGGCGAAGGCGGCUAUCUGGACCGUAACUGACGCUGAGGCGCGAAAGCGUGGGGAGCAAACAGG
Molecule: ribosomal RNA, 253 nt
Filed under: uncultured bacterium
Lineage: Bacteria
Description: partial 16S ribosomal RNA
Rfam family: Bacterial small subunit ribosomal RNA
Source: RNAcentral